Long non-coding RNA from Coccinella septempunctata (seven-spotted ladybird), 867 nucleotides. RefSeq lists it as uncharacterized. The record is from RefSeq and is a predicted model, not a curated record. NCBI's taxonomy places the organism in Eukaryota, Metazoa, Arthropoda, Insecta, Coleoptera, Coccinellidae. The transcript is spliced from 2 exons.
AGUCUCAUAUGUCAAUGUGUUCAUGAAUAAUACAAGAAUCGACAACAUUCGGUGUGUGGUUCUUUGAGUGUUUUUAUUUCCUAUCUUAAUCAUUGUAAUUUCAAAUGUAUAAUUAUAAGUCUCCGGAAUAUUUCUUACAUUAUACAUGCUACUGUGCGCUCGGGCGGUCCAGCUGUUUCAUCGUGGAAGCCUUCGCUCGACGCGGCCACUAAACGUUUCGUCCGCUGUAAAGCCCCCAAGUGAUACAGUUUUCUGUCUUUAUGUGCCAUGCUGAAAUCUAAAGAGCUGACUUACGAACGAAAACAAUCAGGAAAUGGAAAUAUGGGUUCCUUAAGUGAAGAAGUAGUCGAAGCUCUAUGGAAAUUUUGAUGAAGAAGUUCAUCACGGAGAAUUUCAAGAAGAAUGGAAAUGUUGAAAGAGAAAAAACCCCAAUGGUGUUGGAUAAAUAGCCAAUAAUUGCAAUUUGAGCAGGAGAAAGCUAUAUUUCUGCAUAUGGAAUUUUCUGUAUCACACUUUCAAAUGACGUUAAUUCAGUUGAUGAAUAAAUACAUCUAGAAUUUGUUUUAAUUCAAUUUAACUUUGGGAAAUAUUGUUAUUUGUGGAAAAUUAUCCAUUUCGUAUAAAUAACAAGGUAUGCGACUAUCAAAUAUUUCAUUAUCGUGAAUUUUAUGUGCUUGUACUCUUCUUCAAUCAAUUUUAUAGUAACAUUUUUUCACUUGGAGUACCACAGUGAAUAUCAAAUUAUAUCCACGAGCAAGAACAUUAAUCAACAGCUGUCUCAUUCAUCAUCCAAGUUUUAUUAUUUAUAGGGCAGCUGUACAGCUUAUAUAAAUUAACUAGGUACAAUAAAAGUCUUAUGUACGUGAA